UUGGAUCCAUAGCCACCCUUGGCCACCAUAUUGGAUCCAGAGCCACCCAUAGCCGCCAUAUUGGCCGCCAUAUUGGAUCCAGAGCCACCCAUGGCCGCCAUAUUGGCCGCCUUAUUGGAUCCAGAGCCACCCUUGGCCGCCAUGUUGGAUCCAUAGCCACCCAUGGCCGCCAUAUUGGAUCCAUAUCCACCCUUGGCCGCCAUAUUGGGGUCCAUAGCCACCCAUGGCCGCCAUAUUUGCCGCCAUAUUGGCCGCCAUAUUGGAUCCAUAGCCACCCUUGGCCGCCAUAUUGGGUCCCAUUGCCACCCCCCUUAGGCCGCCAUCUUGUCCGCCAUCUUGACCUCCACAGCCACCCAUGGGUGCCACCAUCCAUAUAUUAUCCCACAAUCGGGGUCCCAUUACCCCCCAUGUGUUCCCCCCCCUCCACAUUCCUCCAUCCGGGUCCUUUUCCCCCCUUUAUUUCACCCCCCCACCGCCCACCCCACCGCGGCCGCCAUUACCAGCACCCCCAACCCGGAUAUCCGCUCCACACCGGAAGUCCCACCCAUCCCAGAAGGCGGAAGCGGAUGUGACCACAGCGCCCCCCCAACUUCCGUUUCCUCCCCUUCCUCUUCACACGGACUUCCGUCAUCUUCAUCUUCCGGUUCCGGUUUACUUCCGGGUUGGGCGUGACGUAUGGAUACUUCCGGUAUCAUGGCGGCGAUCCAUUCGGUGUGGGCCGCGGUUCGGGUGUAGACACCGGGACGGGAAUAAAAACAACGACAACGACGACGGGACAAUAACGGAACCGAGAGAUGGUGGAGGGGCUUCGGGGCGGGGAGGGGGGCUGGGAAUGGAAAUAGGUGUGAAUGGAUGGAUGGAUGAAUGGGGGAGGAAUUGAUGAAUGGAUGAAUGGAUGAAUGAAUGAAUGAAUGAAUGGGGGGAGGAAGGAAGGAAUGAAUGGGGGGGUGAAUGAAUGAAUGAAUGAAUGAAUGAAUGAAUGAAUGAAUGGGGAAGGGAUGAAUGGGGGGAAUGAAUGAGGGAAGGAAAGAAAGAAAGAAUGAAUGAAUGAAUGAA
RNAcentral lists this long non-coding RNA (1056 nucleotides) under Coturnix japonica (Japanese quail). RNAcentral describes it as "lncRNA (ENSCJPG00005000446.1)". Lineage: Eukaryota; Metazoa; Chordata; Aves; Galliformes; Phasianidae. The record is from RNAcentral.